Long non-coding RNA from Peromyscus eremicus (cactus mouse), 304 nucleotides. RefSeq lists it as uncharacterized. NCBI's taxonomy places the organism in Eukaryota, Metazoa, Chordata, Mammalia, Rodentia, Cricetidae. The record is from RefSeq and is a predicted model, not a curated record. The transcript has 2 exons.
GUUUAUAACAACUGGAAAUAAGUGGGAAUGGCUACUAGAAUGUGCAGGUUAUAGACAAAGCAUGCUGGUAAAUAUCCUGAAGUACAGAAGAACAGCCCACAGCAAAGAGUUAUUCUACUAAAAAUGUCACUAGCUGAGAUCAGCAAUUGAAACCCAGAGAGGAGAAGGAAGUUCUCCAAGGUCACACAGCACAAAAAGAUAACAUAAGGUCUUAAAGGUAGGGUCUUGUAAUGCUCAAGUGUCUUCAAAUUUUCAAGUAUGCACACAAUUGAACACCGUGAAUAAUACCAAUCAUCAUAAUUAA